CACGUAGGGCGCGAGCGUUGUCCGGAAUUAUUGGGCGUAAAGCGCACGUAGGCGGCUUGGCAAGUCGGAUGUGAAAUCCCUCGGCUCAACCAAGGAAGUGCAUCCGAAACUGCUGAGCUUGAGUACGAAAGAGGAUCGCGGAAUUCCCGGUGUAGAGGUGAAAUUCGUAGAUAUCGGGAGGAACACCAGUGGCGAAGGCGAGUUUCUGGACAGUUACUGACGCUGAGGCACGAAGGCCAGGGGAGCAAACGGG
Molecule: ribosomal RNA, 253 nt
Filed under: uncultured bacterium
Lineage: Bacteria
Description: partial 16S ribosomal RNA
Rfam family: Bacterial small subunit ribosomal RNA
Source: RNAcentral